AUCGGUACCCUCACAAAAGCACUGACUUUGAUGCUGUAUUUGGUAAGUGCUAUUUGUUGGGGUAGUUUUA
Danio rerio (zebrafish) is the source of this 70-nucleotide non-coding RNA. The record is from Rfam. Lineage: Eukaryota; Metazoa; Chordata; Actinopteri; Cypriniformes; Danionidae.